UGCCUUUCAGAGGGGGAUACCGAUUGGAAACGAUCGUUAAUACCGCAUAAUAUAAUUGAACCGCAUGAUUUGAUUAUCAAAGAUUUAUCGCUGAAAGAUGAGCUCGCGUCUGAUUAGCUAGUUGGUAAGGUAACGGCUUACCAAGGCGACGAUCAGUAGCCGGACUGAGAGGUUGAUCGGCCACAUUGGGACUGAGACACGGCCCAGACUCCUACGGGAGGCAGCAGUGGGGAAUAUUGCACAAUGGAGGAAACUCUGAUGCAGCGAUGCCGCGUGAGGGAAGAAGGUUUUAGGAUUGUAAACCUCUGUCUUCAGGGACGAAAAAAGACGGUACCUGAGGAGGAAGCUCCGGCUAACUACGUGCCAGCAGCCGCGGUAAUACGUAGGGAGCGAGCGUUGUCCGGAAUUACUGGGUGUAAAGGGAGCGUAGGCGGGAUCGCAAGUCAGAUGUGAAAACUAUGGGCUUAACCCAUAAACUGCAUUUGAAACUGUGGUUCUUGAGUGAAGUAGAGGUAAGCGGAAUUCCUAGUGUAGCGGUGAAAUGCGUAGAUAUUAGGAGGAACAUCAGUGGCGAAGGCGGCUUACUGGGCUUUAACUGACGCUGAGGCUCGAAAGCGUGGGGAGCAAACAGGAUUAGAUACCCUGGUAGUCCACGCCGUAAACGAUGAUUACUAGGUGUGGGGGGACUGACCCCUUCCGUGCCGCAG
Molecule: ribosomal RNA, 707 nt
Filed under: uncultured bacterium
Lineage: Bacteria
Description: bacterial SSU rRNA
Rfam family: Bacterial small subunit ribosomal RNA
Source: RNAcentral